AAUGAACGUUGGCGGCGUGGAUUAGGCAUGCAAGUCGAGCGCUCAUCAGCAAUGGUGGGAGCGGCGAACGGCGUAGUAAUGGAUCGGAACGUACCCUCUGGACGGGGGAUAGCUGCGGGAAACUGCAGGUAAUACCCGAUGAACUCUGCGGAGCAAAGGUGAGAUUCCGCCGGAGGAGCGGCUGAUCUGAUAUUAGCUGGCUGGUGGGGUAAUGGCCUACCAGGGCGAUGAUGUCUAGGGGGGUGUGAGAGCAUGGCCCCCACGACCGGAACUGAGACACUGUCCGGACACCUACGGGUGGCAG
Molecule: ribosomal RNA, 304 nt
Filed under: uncultured Planctomycetota bacterium
Lineage: Bacteria; Pseudomonadati; Planctomycetota
Description: bacterial SSU rRNA
Rfam family: Bacterial small subunit ribosomal RNA
Source: RNAcentral